This is a long non-coding RNA of Melanotaenia boesemani (Boeseman's rainbowfish), 445 nucleotides long. RefSeq lists it as uncharacterized. NCBI's taxonomy places the organism in Eukaryota, Metazoa, Chordata, Actinopteri, Atheriniformes, Melanotaeniidae. The transcript is spliced from 4 exons. The record is from RefSeq and is a predicted model, not a curated record.
AAGAAGAAUUCACACAGGAACCCGUCAGCCUGGACUCCUGCAGCAGCUGCAGAGACGACGGAGGAGCUUCGUCUUGACAAGCCUGAAUCAUGGGAAACAAAGGCUCAGUUACCAAUACGACUCCUUAUAACUGGGUACUUGACAAAGGAAGACAGUUUUCUGAGGAUGUUUGUACUCUAUACAGAAAUAGCACAAGAGAAUAUAAAGAAGAUUUCUUCCACAAUUAUCAGCUAUACCUUCGAUAUGAAAACCACUCAGACUGGGACCUUAAGACUUGGGGUGAUGGCGAUUCAUUCACCUUAAGAGAAAGCAGCGACCGCAGAUAUUUUGAACUGGUCAACAAUUCUUCUCGUCAGGUAGUCGACCGAUGUCCACACUUUGGCAGAAUUGAAGAAGAAAAACGAGAGAAAGAAAGAAAGGAGCGAGAGAGACGGCAACAAGAAGA